GUGGGGAAUAUUGGACAAUGGGGGGAACCCUGAUCCAGCCAUGCCGCGUGUGUGAAGAAGGCCUUUUGGUUGUAAAGCACUUUAAGCGAGGAGGAGGCUACCGAGAUUAAUACUCUUGGAUAGUGGACGUUACUCGCAGAAUAAGCACCGGCUAACUCUGUGCCAGCAGCCGCGGUAAUACAGAGGGUGCAAGCGUUAAUCGGAUUUACUGGGCGUAAAGCGCGCGUAGGUGGCCAAUUAAGUCAAAUGUGAAAUCCCCGAGCUUAACUUGGGAAUUGCAUUCGAUACUGGUUGGCUAGAGUAUGGGAGAGGAUGGUAGAAUUCCAGGUGUAGCGGUGAAAUGCGUAGAGAUCUGGAGGAAUACCGAUGGCGAAGGCAGCCAUCUGACCUAAUACUGACACUGAGGUGCGAAAGCAUGGGGAGCAAACAGGAUUAGAAACCCUGGUAGUCC
Molecule: ribosomal RNA, 451 nt
Filed under: uncultured bacterium
Lineage: Bacteria
Description: partial 16S ribosomal RNA
Rfam family: Bacterial small subunit ribosomal RNA
Source: RNAcentral